This 253-nucleotide ribosomal RNA is filed under the name uncultured bacterium. RNAcentral describes it as "partial 16S ribosomal RNA". It matches the Rfam family "Bacterial small subunit ribosomal RNA", at positions 524 to 776 of the family's 1533-position model. The record is from RNAcentral.
CACGUAGGGCGCAAGCGUUGUCCGGAAUUACUGGGCGUAAAGCGCACGUAGGCGGCUUUGUAAGUAAGAGGUGAAAGCCCGGAGCUCAACUCCGGAACUGCCUUUUAGACUGCAUCGCUUGAAUCCAGGAGAGGUGAGUGGAAUUCCGAGUGUAGAGGUGAAAUUCGUAGAUAUUCGGAAGAACACCAGUGGCGAAGGCGGCUCACUGGACUGGUAUUGACGCUGAGGUGCGAAAGCGUGGGGAGCAAACAGG